Molecule: ribosomal RNA, 448 nt
Filed under: Diutina rugosa
Lineage: Eukaryota; Fungi; Ascomycota; Pichiomycetes; Serinales; Debaryomycetaceae
Description: eukaryotic LSU rRNA
Rfam family: Eukaryotic large subunit ribosomal RNA
Source: RNAcentral
CAGCUCAAAUUUGAAAGCCCGCGGGCGUUGUAAUUUGCAGGCGGAUGUUUUGGGGCGGGCGCUGUCUACGUUCCUUGGAACAGGACGCCGCAGAGGGUGAGAGCCCCGUGCGAUGGCGCCUCCAACCGCGUAAAACUCCGCCGACGAGUCGAGUUGUUUGGGAAUGCAGCUCCAAGUGGGUGGUAAAUUCCAUCUAAAGCUAAAUACUGGCGAGAGACCGAUAGCGAACAAGUACAGUGAUGGAAAGAUGAAAAGCACUUUGAAAAGAGAGUGAAACAGCACGUGAAAUUGUUGAAAGGGAAGGGUAUGCGAUUAGCGGCCAGCAGGAGGUGCCUUCUCGUGAAAAGGCCGUGCACCGUCUUCGGACACCGUGCGCGGAGAUGGCGAGGGGGCGCCUGAGGUCUGCGACUCGAGGUUGCUGGCGUAAUGAUUGCAUACCACCCGUCUU